RNAcentral lists this ribosomal RNA (253 nucleotides) under uncultured bacterium. Its description in RNAcentral is "partial 16S ribosomal RNA". It matches the Rfam family "Bacterial small subunit ribosomal RNA", at positions 524 to 776 of the family's 1533-position model. The record is from RNAcentral.
CACGUAGGGCGCAAGCGUUGUCCGGAAUUAUUGGGCGUAAAGAGCUCGUAGGCGGACUGUCACGUCUGCUGUGAAAAGCCGGGGCUUAACCCUGGCCUUGCAGUGGAUACGGGCAGACUAGAGGUAGGUAGGGGAGAGUGGAAUUCCCGGUGUAGCGGUGAAAUGCGCAGAUAUCGGGAGGAACACCGGUGGCGAAGGCGGUUCUCUGGGCCUUAACUGACGCUGAGGAGCGAAAGCGUGGGGAGCGAACAGG